This is a non-coding RNA of Podarcis lilfordi (Lilford's wall lizard), 74 nucleotides long. Lineage: Eukaryota; Metazoa; Chordata; Lepidosauria; Squamata; Lacertidae. The record is from the annotation of a GenBank genome assembly.
AUCCUCAUAGCUCAGUGGGAGAGCACCUGCAUUGCCUGCAGAAGGUCUCAGGUUCAAUACCUUAUCUGCAGAUA